GUGGGGAAUCUUAGACAAUGGGGGAAACCCUGAUCCAGCAAUGCCGCGUGUGUGAAGAAGGCCUUCGGGUUGUAAAGCACUUUUGGCAGGAAAGAAAUAGUGCGUGCUAAUACCAUGCGCGAAUGACGGUACCUGCAGAAUAAGCACCGGCUAACUACGUGCCAGCAACCGCGGUAAGACGUAGGGUGCAAGCGUUAAUCGGAAUUACUGGGCGUAAAGCGUGCGCAGGCGGUUUUGUAAGACAGGUGUGAAAUCCCCGGGCUCAACCUGGGAACUGCACUUGUGACUGCAAGGCUAGAGUGUGUCAGAGGGAGGUGGAAUUCCGCGUGUAGCAGUGAAAUGCGUAGAGAUGCGGAGGAACACCGAUGGCGAAGGCAGCCUCCUGGGAUAACACUGACGCUCAGGCACGAAAGCGUGGGGAGCAAACAGGAUUAGAUACCCGAGUAGUCC
RNAcentral lists this ribosomal RNA (450 nucleotides) under uncultured bacterium. RNAcentral's name for it is "partial 16S ribosomal RNA". It matches the Rfam family "Bacterial small subunit ribosomal RNA", at positions 354 to 796 of the family's 1533-position model. The record is from RNAcentral.